Molecule: ribosomal RNA, 253 nt
Filed under: uncultured bacterium
Lineage: Bacteria
Description: partial 16S ribosomal RNA
Rfam family: Bacterial small subunit ribosomal RNA
Source: RNAcentral
UACGAAGGGGGCUAGCGUUGUUCGGAUUUACUGGGCGUAAAGCGCACGUAGGCGGAUCGUUAAGUCGGGGGUGAAAUCCUGGAGCUCAACUCCAGAACUGCCUUCGAUACUGGCGAUCUCGAGUCCGGAAGAGGUGAGUGGAACUGCGAGUGUAGAGGUGAAAUUCGUAGAUAUUCGCAAGAACACCAGUGGCGAAGGCGGCUCACUGGCCCGAUACUGACGCUGAGGUGCGAAAGCGUGGGGAGCAAACAGG